UAGUAACGGCGAGUGAAGCGGCAACAGCUCAAAUUUGAAAUCUGGCCUCACGGUCCGAGUUGUAAUUUGUAGAGGAUGUUUUUGGUGCAGUACCUUUCGAGUUCCCUGGAACGGGACGCCUUAGAGGGUGAGAGCCCCGUACGAUUGGAUGCUUAGCCUAUGUAAAACUCCUUCGACGAGUCGAGUAGUUUGGGAAUGCUGCUCUAAAUGGGAGGUAAAUUUCUUCUAAAGCUAAAUACCGGCCAGAGACCGAUAGCGCACAAGUAGAGUGAUCGAAAGAUGAAAAGCACUUUGAAAAGAGGGUUAAACAGCACGUGAAAUUGUUAAAAGGGAAGGGCUUGUGACCAGACUUUUUCCUUGCGGAUCAUCCGGUGUUUUCACCGGUGCACUUCGCUUGGUAGAGGCCAGCAUCGGUUUUCAUAGAGGGAUAAAAGCUUUAGGAAUGUGACUCCCCCGGGAGUGUUAUAGCCUAUUGUAUAAUACCUUUACGGAGACCGAGGUACGCAUUUUUGUGGAUGCUGGCGUAAUGGUUAUCAGCCACCCGUCUUGAAACACGGACCAAGGAGUCGAACAUUUGUGCGAGUGUUUGGGUGUUAAACCCUCACGCGUAAUGAAAGUGAACGGAGGUGAGAGCCUUAGGGUGCAUCAUCGACCGAUCCUGAAGUCUUCGGAUGGAUUUGAGUAAGAGCAUAACUGUUCGGACCCGAAAGAUGGUGAACUAUGCGUGGAUAGGGUGAAGCCAGAGGAAACUCUGGUGGAGGCUCGCAGCGGUUCUGACGUGCAAAUCGAUCGUCAAAUCUGCGCAUGGGGGCG
Molecule: ribosomal RNA, 813 nt
Filed under: Kirstenboschia diospyri
Lineage: Eukaryota; Fungi; Ascomycota; Sordariomycetes; Xylariales
Description: eukaryotic LSU rRNA
Rfam family: Eukaryotic large subunit ribosomal RNA
Source: RNAcentral